Molecule: ribosomal RNA, 451 nt
Filed under: uncultured Thermovirga sp.
Lineage: Bacteria; Thermotogati; Synergistota; Synergistia; Synergistales; Thermovirgaceae
Description: bacterial SSU rRNA
Rfam family: Bacterial small subunit ribosomal RNA
Source: RNAcentral
ACCCGCACAAGCAGAGGAGCGCGUUGGUUUAAUUCGACGGCAAUCGAAGAACCUUACCAGGGUUUGAAAUGUAUCUGCAUGCCCUAUGAAAAUAGGGAGGCCUUCGAGGGUGAUACACAGGUGCUGCAUGGCCGCCGUCAGCUCGUGUCGUGAGAUGUAGGGUUAAGUCCCGAAACGAGCGCAACCCCUAUUCUAUGUUACAAGUGUCUUAGAAAACCGCCUCGGUAAAACGAGGAGGAAGGUGGGGAUGACGUCUGGUCCGCAUAGCCCUUAUGUCCUGGGCUACACACGCGCUACAAUGGCCGAUACAGUAGGAAGCCAAAUCGUAAGAUGGAGCUAAUCCUUAAAGUCGGUCUCAGUUCGGAUUGAGGUCUGAAAUUCGACCUCAUGAAGUUGGAUUUGCUAGUAAUCGUAGAUCAGCAAUGCUACGGUGAAUACGUUCUCGGGUCUU